GAGGAAAGUCCGGGCUCCAUAGGGCAAGGUGCCAGGUAACGCCUGGGGGGCGAGAGCCUACGACCAGUGCAACAGAGAGCAAACCGCCGAUGGCCCACGCAAGUGGGAUCAGGUAAGGGUGAAAGGGUGCGGUAAGAGCGCACCGCGCGGCUGGUAACAGUCCGUGGCACGGUAAACUCCACCCGGAGCAAGGCCAAAUAGGGGUUCAUAAGGUACGGCCCGUACUGAACCCGGGUAGGCUGCUUGAGCCAGUGAGCGAUUGCUGGCCUAGAUGAAUGACUGUCCACGACAGAACCCGGCUUA
This 303-nucleotide RNase P RNA is filed under the name Citrobacter rodentium ICC168. It matches the Rfam family "Bacterial RNase P class A", at positions 43 to 351 of the family's 367-position model. From Rfam's summary of the family: Ribonuclease P (RNase P) is a ubiquitous endoribonuclease, found in archaea, bacteria and eukarya as well as chloroplasts and mitochondria. The record is from RNAcentral. Lineage: Bacteria; Pseudomonadati; Pseudomonadota; Gammaproteobacteria; Enterobacterales; Enterobacteriaceae.